CCUACGGGGGGCAGUAGUGAGGAAUAUUGGUCAAUGGGCGGAAGCCUGAACCAGCCAAGUCGCGUGAGGGAAUAAGGCCCUACGGGUCGUAAACCUCUUUUGCCGGGGAGCAAGGGCCGGGACGCGUCCCGGCCCGGAGAGUACCCGGAGAAAAAGCAUCGGCCAACUCCGUGCCAGCAGCCGCGGUAAUACGGAGGAUGCGAGCGUUAUCCGGAUUUAUUGGGUUUAAAGGGUGCGUAGGCGGGCUUUUAAGUCAGCGGUAAAAAUUCGGGGCUCAACCCCGUCCGGCCGUUGAAACUGGGGGC
Molecule: ribosomal RNA, 305 nt
Filed under: uncultured bacterium
Lineage: Bacteria
Description: bacterial SSU rRNA
Rfam family: Bacterial small subunit ribosomal RNA
Source: RNAcentral